GCCGGAAUUGCUAGUAAUGGCAGGUCAGCAUACUGCCGUGAAUACGUUCCCGGGCCCUUGUACACACCGCCCGUCACACCAUGAGAGUUGGAGAUACCCGAAGCCUGUGAGCUAACAAACGAGGCAGCAGUCGAAGGUAGAAUCAAUGAUUGGGGUGAAGUCGUAACAAGGUAGC
RNAcentral lists this ribosomal RNA (175 nucleotides) under uncultured bacterium. Its description in RNAcentral is "partial 16S ribosomal RNA". It matches the Rfam family "Bacterial small subunit ribosomal RNA", at positions 1325 to 1500 of the family's 1533-position model. The record is from RNAcentral.